GACGAACGCUGGCGGCGUGCUUAACACAUGCAAGUCGAACGGAAAGGCCCUGCUUUUGUGGGGUGCUCGAGUGGCGAACGGGUGAGUAACACGUGAGUAACCUGCCCUUGACUUUGGUAUAACUUCAGGAAACUGGGGCUAAUACCGGAUAGGAGCUCCUGCUGCAGGGUGGGGGUUGGAAAGUUUCGGCGGUUGAGGAUGGACUCGCGGCUUAUCAGCUUGUUGGUGGGGUAGUGGCUUACCAGGGCUUUGACGGGUAGCCGGCCUGAGAGGGUGACCGGCCACAUUGGGACUGAGAUACGGCCCAGACUCCUACGGGAGGCAGCAGUGGGGAAUAUUGCACAAUGGGCGGAAGCCUGAUGCAGCAACGCCGCGUGCGGGAUGACGGCCUUCGGGUUGUAACCCGCUUUCGCCUGUGACGAAGCGUGAGUGACGGUAAUGGGUAAAGAAGCACCGGCUAACUACGUG
This 468-nucleotide ribosomal RNA is filed under the name uncultured bacterium. RNAcentral describes it as "partial 16S ribosomal RNA". It matches the Rfam family "Bacterial small subunit ribosomal RNA", at positions 28 to 507 of the family's 1533-position model. The record is from RNAcentral.